This 217-nucleotide ribosomal RNA is filed under the name uncultured bacterium. Its description in RNAcentral is "partial 16S ribosomal RNA". It matches the Rfam family "Bacterial small subunit ribosomal RNA", at positions 524 to 740 of the family's 1533-position model. The record is from RNAcentral.
UACGUAGGGUGCGAGCGUUAAUCGGAAUUACUGGGCGUAAAGCGUGCGCAGGCGGUUUUGUAAGCCAGAUGUGAAAUCCCCGGGCUCAACCUGGGAAUGGCAUUUGGGACUGCAAGGCUCGAGUUUGGCAGAGGAGACUGGAAUUCCUGGUGUAGCAGUGAAAUGCGUAGAUAUCAGGAGGAAUACCGAUGGCGAAGGCAGGUCUCUGGGCUGAUAC